RNAcentral lists this ribosomal RNA (496 nucleotides) under uncultured bacterium. RNAcentral's name for it is "partial 16S ribosomal RNA". It matches the Rfam family "Bacterial small subunit ribosomal RNA", at positions 28 to 506 of the family's 1533-position model. The record is from RNAcentral.
GAUGAACGCUGGCGGCGUGCCUAAUACAUGCAAGUCGAGCGAACGGACGAGAAGCUUGCUUCUCUGAUGUUAGCGGCGGACGGGUGAGUAACACGUGGAUAACCUACCUAUAAGACUGGGAUAACUUCGGGAAACCGGAGCUAAUACCGGAUAAUAUUUUGAACCGCAUGGUUCAAAAGUGAAAGACGGUCUUGCUGUCACUUAUAGAUGGAUCCGCGCUGCAUUAGCUAGUUGGUAAGGUAACGGCUUACCAAGGCAACGAUGCAUAGCCGACCUGAGAGGGUGAUCGGCCACACUGGAACUGAGACACGGUCCAGACUCCUACGGGAGGUAGCAGUAGGGAAUCUUCCGCAAUGGGCGAAAGCCUGACGGAGCAACGCCGCGUGAGUGAUGAAGGUCUUCGGAUCGUAAAACUCUGUUAUUAGGGAAGAACAUAUGUGUAAGUAACUGUGCACAUCUUGACGGUACCUAAUCAGAAAGCCACGGCUAACUACGU